UACAGAGGAGCCAAGCGUCGUCCGGAUUGACUGGGCGUAAAGUGCACGCAGGUGGUCGUGCAAGUGUCGUGUGAAAGCAGCUCGCUUAACGAGCUGAGGCCAUGGCAGACUGCAUCACUCGAGCCCGUGAGAGGUCGGUGGAAUUGCCGGUGUAGUAGUGAAAUACGUAGAGAUCGGCAGGAACACCCAAGGGGAAGCCAACCGACUGGCACGGUGCUGACACUGAGGUGCGACAGCGUGGGGAGCAAACGGG
RNAcentral lists this ribosomal RNA (253 nucleotides) under uncultured bacterium. RNAcentral describes it as "partial 16S ribosomal RNA". It matches the Rfam family "Bacterial small subunit ribosomal RNA", at positions 524 to 776 of the family's 1533-position model. The record is from RNAcentral.